CCCAUUUACAAACCAGUGUUCUUAGGUAUUGAAUAACAAGUGUAGUUACCUGGAUACACGGUGACUCCGUCAGGUGGUUUAACAUGUCCUUGGAUAACAGGAUAAACCUUUUUCCAUGACUCACACAUGGAGGAAUUAGUAGUGGAUUGUGCAUAAAGACUCAGGACACAUGACUCAACAUCGGGAGGUAGAUUUAAAUGCACCGUGCCAAGGUGGGGCCUAGCUCCCCC
Non-coding RNA from Pelobates cultripes (western spadefoot toad), 230 nucleotides. Lineage: Eukaryota; Metazoa; Chordata; Amphibia; Anura; Pelobatidae. The record is from the annotation of a GenBank genome assembly.